GCUGUCAUCUACCAAUCAGCAUGUACAAACUGGUGCCGGAAGUUGCAAUCAUGUAACGCCAUGUUUUCAAAAAUGUCGGCGGCCAAAUGCCAUGCUAAGUGGCUUAAGCUAACCCUUCAAAUCCUGACCCCCUGCUUCAAUCUGCUGCAA
Molecule: long non-coding RNA, 150 nt
Organism: Alosa sapidissima (American shad)
Lineage: Eukaryota; Metazoa; Chordata; Actinopteri; Clupeiformes; Clupeidae
Exons: 3
Source: RefSeq, a predicted model, not a curated record